Cebus imitator (Panamanian white-faced capuchin) is the source of this 1824-nucleotide long non-coding RNA. RefSeq lists it as uncharacterized. NCBI's taxonomy places the organism in Eukaryota, Metazoa, Chordata, Mammalia, Primates, Cebidae. The transcript has 4 exons. The record is from RefSeq and is a predicted model, not a curated record.
AGGGAAUCCAUGGGUGCCAGUGACUUUCCGAACUGGAGGAUAUGUGCAGAAGUCUGUCCUGGUUUCAGUGCUCAGCGGUGUGUGCAGAGAAAAGUCUUCUGGUACAGGCGGUGUGAUGCUCUGGGCGAGCACAGCACCUCAGCAGAGCAGUGUUGAGACCUUUGCUUGCCCUCGCCGUGUAACUGAGGCUUAUUUGGAUGAUAUAGGACCGGGAAAACCUAUCUUUAGGAGCUGCCAAGUGGCUUCUGAGACUCCUUGGAGGGAGGUGACAUCAACCUAAAGAUGAUAAUGGGAGCAAAGUUUGGCUCAUUUGCAGAACGGAGUGCCUUGCUUAACCCUGCUCUAAGCUGGAGGUCCUCCUCCUGACCUGGUAUCCUCCUUCUAGGAGGGCAGGGAUCAAGAGGCUGGCAGCAGAUGAGCCCUACAAAUCUUUUGCAGCCCUGCUGUGUCAUUGUAGACCAGGGGAUACCUGCUACUUGCUGUGGAAAGAGGAGUUCUUCAGCAUUUCAGUGACAUCAUCCACUCAGGAGAGUUGGGGCGAGGCUGGCUGAGGUUCUCAAGGAGCUGAGUUUUGAGUUCAGGUGCUCGUGUAGCAGUGGAAUGAUGCCUCCUGAUCUUUCAGACCUUUGAGACCUCUGGGCGGUCUUAGAAAUCACCUCAAGCCUCCAUCCAGUCCAGGAUACGACUGCCUAGGGGAAUUCCAGGGAAAGGUGGCAGAGAUACCAUGGACUAUAAGGUGAUGAAUGCCACGAUGAGCUCACUACAAGAUCUCAAAGAUUCCAAGCCACUGGCUAUUCCAAAGCAUAAAGCCACCCUUCAGGAGCAGCGUUGGGAGGCAGACUGGGAGGAGGCCCUGAGUUUUUGCCAAAGGAUGGAUCACCCCCUCAGGUGUCCAGGGAGCUGCUGAAGCAUAGUGAGGCAGAUGCACAGGACAGAAACACAGAAACUGGAACCAACAGGCACCUAAAGUUGAUUCGCACCCAGCAUCCCUGAAGACUGAUGUUCUCUGAGCUGUAGUUCUUCAUUGGACUGUUUUUCCUUUGCUAUCACCUGCCUAACACAUAGUGCUGGAUGCUUUUGACUGGUUGGAUUUCUUUUUUUUUUUUUCCCUUUAUUAUUUCUUUCCUUGAUUCUGGGAAUUAUAAAAAAAAAAUUGCUUUAAAAAGUAGUAUUCUGUGCUGAAAUUAGCCUUGUUUAUGAACAAGUUUUAUCCCUAGGGAUUUCCUGAAUUGCAGUCCCAGGUUACCUUGUAAAUGGGGCUGUGCUGUUUGAUUUGUAUAGUACUGAUCUGUAGGUUAAAAUACAUUUUCUUUCUUUUGUUUCAUUCUUUUUUUUAAAGUUUGGAUCCAGGUAAUGGCCUGAGUCACAUUUGCUUAGCUACUGAAGCGAUCUCAAUGUGGUAUCGCUUAGAGUUGAAACAUAAUCAAACAUACAUUAUACCUGGGGCUCUUGCACACUAUUUGAUGUAUAUGUUACACUACAAAGAAACACAAACCUUGUAGGUUGAAGUUUAAUUCCUCUUUGAUCCUGCAGCUAGAAUGCUAAAGAAAUUGUAAAUAUCAAAAGUGGCUUCAAAUACCCUGAAUGUAAGCUAGUCAACAGUAAGUGGAUGGUUUCAGAAUACCAUUUUCUAAGACAAAGCAGGAAGUAGAGAUCUACCUGAGCAUCCACGAUGUUGCUCAGGUCUGUCUGUGGAUCUGUCCAUUUUGGAGUAAAGAACAAGGCAUGCUUCUGUGAUUGUGCUUAUGAAAACUGUGGUAUUUCCGAUUUAUGUUUUGUAAUUGUGCCUGCCUUGCAAUAAAACACAUUCAGUUGACUCAGCAA